This 253-nucleotide ribosomal RNA is filed under the name uncultured bacterium. RNAcentral's name for it is "partial 16S ribosomal RNA". It matches the Rfam family "Bacterial small subunit ribosomal RNA", at positions 524 to 776 of the family's 1533-position model. The record is from RNAcentral.
UACGGAGGGUGCAAGCGUCGUUCGGAAUUAUUGGGCGUAAAGGGCGUGUAGGUGGCACUCCAAGUCUGGUGUGAAAGCCCACGGCUCAACCGUGGAACUGCAUUGGAAACUGGGGAGCUCGAGUGUUGGAGGGGGUCGCGGAAUUCCCGGUGUAGAGGUGAAAUUCGUAGAGAUCGGGAGGAACACCAGUGGCGAAGGCGGCGACCUGGCCAAUCACUGACACUGAGACGCGAAAGCGUGGGGAGCAAACAGG